CGGGUGAGUAACGCGUGGAUAACCUGCCUCAUACAGGGGGAUAACAGUUAGAAAUGACUGCUAAUACCGCAUAAGCGCACAGGACCGCAUGGUCCGGUGUGAAAAACUCCGGUGGUAUGGGAUGGAUCCGCGUCUGAUUAGCUGGUUGGUGAGGUGACGGCCCACCAAGGCGACGAUCAGUAGCCGACCUGAGAGGGUGGCCGGCCACAUUGGGACUGAGACACGGCCCAAACUCCUACGGGAGGCAGCAG
RNAcentral lists this ribosomal RNA (251 nucleotides) under uncultured bacterium. RNAcentral's name for it is "partial 16S ribosomal RNA". It matches the Rfam family "Bacterial small subunit ribosomal RNA", at positions 103 to 354 of the family's 1533-position model. The record is from RNAcentral.